UCCCUGGUGGCUCAGACGGUAAAGAACCUGCCUUCAAUGCAGGAGACCCGGGUUCAGUCCCCAGGUUGGGAA
This is a transfer RNA of Ovis aries (sheep), 72 nucleotides long. It matches the Rfam family "tRNA". From Rfam's summary of the family: Transfer RNA (tRNA) molecules are approximately 80 nucleotides in length. NCBI's taxonomy places the organism in Eukaryota, Metazoa, Chordata, Mammalia, Artiodactyla, Bovidae. The record is from Rfam.